RNAcentral lists this long non-coding RNA (1988 nucleotides) under Oryctolagus cuniculus (rabbit). RNAcentral describes it as "lncRNA (ENSOCUG00000031931.1)". Lineage: Eukaryota; Metazoa; Chordata; Mammalia; Lagomorpha; Leporidae. The record is from RNAcentral.
CUCGGAUGGGCCCUCUUAGAGAUUUCUACUCAUUUAGGCUCAAGUUCAUUGAGACUUUUCUUGGCUGACUUUGAUCACUAAUGAGCUGAUUUGCAUAGUUCUUUGUCUCUGACAUGACAGUUUUUACGUGUUACUAUUUUUAGCAUUUCCAUUGGACUUGUUUUAAAGUUUCCAUCUUUCUGCUGGCAAUUCUUGUCUGUUCGUGCACACGGUGCCGUUCUGCCCUCUAACACACCAACCCUACCUGGUAGCUCUGGAGUCUAUGCCUCAGCAUAUUUCUCGUUGCUACAUCGGAACACUUGAGGCUGACAACUUCCGAAGAAAAAGAGAUUCGGUCCUGGGCAUUCCGGAGCGGUGCCAGCACUGGCCUGGCCCUGAUGGGGGCCUCGGACUACAGAAGCACAUCACGGUGGGGGCCGGGGCAGGAGGACAGCACAGGCCAAGACAGGAGACGGGAUUUCCAGCCAGGAGUGAGUGCCUUUCCUCAGGCCGCCCGGGCUACGGGAGAGCGAGUGGAGCCAGGUCAGAUGGUGCUGGGGGCCCCCCUCCCUGCGCGGCCGCCGCCUCUGCCCCGAGCGCAUCCCACAGCGGCCUCUGCUUGGGCUCCCCAUGCGCGCCUCACGAUCUGUGGCAAUCCCGAUCUGCCAGGCUGAUCUCGCGGCUGGAAGGGGCCUUGGCCUUCCUGCCAGCCCGCACCCGACAGCGGCCCCAGCCUUGCCCCCGCUGUUCCACGCCAGAAGCCCCAGCGCUGUGUGGGAGGCGCAGCUUCCCUGCCACCUGGUCUGCGUUAGUGCGGGAUCCCGGCGGGACCAGCUCACUGCCCGCCCUGCACGCUCUCCAGGCUCGCGGGGGCCCGGGUCUGGGGUGCCCCGACCCCUGUGGGGCCCGCGCCCUGCCUUUCACCCGUGUGGCAGAGUGGUCCCGGCGUGAGCCGAGGCGUGCGCCCUCCAGGCUGGGGCAGCCCGGCCGCUGCUCUGCUGAGAUUUAGGGGAGGUCCCUGGGUUUCUGCUCAGGAGAUGCUCCCUUGGGCAUCAGCUCGCUGCCCCUUCCUCCCCAGCUCAGGCAUCCCUCGCAGCGCGCCUCCUGGUGGGGGCUGGGACCGCUCUCCGAAAUCUCAGGAGCUCAGAGCUCAGAAUCCCAUUCUGCAGCCACAGCUCCGUCCUCCAUCUGAUCCCAAUGGGGGUGGGCGGGCACUCCUCGCCCCUCUCUGCCCCUGGACACUCAUUCUGGGCGCACCACGCCCAGCAGGACAAGAAUCCGCACCUCCCGGGGACGGGCACGAGGGGUUCCCCAGCGCAUUCUCCUGCGUGGGCCUCUGUGGGCCCAUGGGUGCGCCUGGCGCCUGCCCCCCUGCGGAGAUGCCUGAGGAAGACCGGCUUGCGCAGCCAGGGCGGGACUCUGGUGCUGAUGUGCGCGGUGCUUGGGACCCAAGGCUCUGAGGCCUCUGCCCUCAGCCCUGGCCCGGACUGGAGCGUGGAUUCGGACUCCGUUCGCAAGAUUAAUCUGUGCGCACAUGCACAGAGCUGAAGUCCUGUCCAGGCUGGCUGGACCAACACAGGAUCAGAAGGAAAGCAACAACCAACAAAACAGCGGCGGCGAAGCCGGGCUCCCGGCACAGGGAGGCGACCGCGGGCCCUCAGCAGCCCCGGCUGAGCCCAGCUCAGAAGCCCUGUGCUGUGAGGAGCGAGAUGCUGCGUAAACCCAAGCGUGACUUAUGGGGAACAUUUGUCUAGACUCUGUUUCUUAUUAAACACCAGCUGAUGCAGAAGUCUGCAUUAUAAAUUGUUUUCAUUCACUCACGCACGUCCCUCAGCAUUUGCAUGAAAGCGUCUUCUGUUGCAUCUCGUUUUUUGUAACAGAAUGCGUGGCCUUAAGAAAGCAUGUGCUAGCCAGCGCCGCGGCUGACUAGGCUAAUCCUCCGCCUAGCGGCGCCGGCACACCGGGUUCUAGUCCUGUUCGGGGCGCCGGAUUCUGUCCCGGUUGCCCCU